ACGGAGGAUGCAAGCGUUAUCCGGAUUUAUUGGGCUUAAAGGGUGCGUAGGCGGAACAGCAAGUCAGUGGUGAAAUCCUGCAGCUUAACUGUAGAAUUGCCGUUGAUACUGUUAUUCUUGAGUGCGAUUGAAGUAGGCGGAAUGUGCGAUGUAGCGGUGAAAUUCGUAGAGAUUGCGCAGAACACCGAUUGCGAAGGCACCUUACUGAGCCGUAACUGACGCUGAGGCACGAAAGCGUGGGGAUCAAACAG
This 251-nucleotide ribosomal RNA is filed under the name uncultured prokaryote. RNAcentral describes it as "partial 16S rRNA". It matches the Rfam family "Bacterial small subunit ribosomal RNA", at positions 525 to 775 of the family's 1533-position model. The record is from RNAcentral.